UGAUACUAAGCCAUGCGAGUCAUUGCAGUAAUGCAAGGCAGACGGCUCAGUAACGCGUAGUCAACCUACCCUAUGGACGGGAAUAACCUCGGGAAACUGAGUAUAAUGCCCGAUAGAACACUAUUCCUGGAAUGGUUUGUGUUCCAAAUGAUUUAUCGCCGUAGGAUGGGACUGCAGCCUAUCAGUUUGUUGGUGAGGUAAUGGCCCACCAAGACUAUUACAGGUACGGGCUCUGAGAGGAGUAGCCCGGAGAUGGGUACUGAGACACGGACCCAGGCCCUAUGGGGCGCAGCAGGCGAGAAAACUUUGCAAUGUGCGAAAGCACGACAAGGUUAAUCCGAGUGGUUUGUGCUAAACGAACCUUUUGACAGUCCUAGAAACACUGUUGAAUAAGGGGUGGGCAAGUUCUGGUGUCAGCCGCCGCGGUAAAACCAGCACCUCAAGUGGUCAGGAUGAUUAUUGGGCCUAAAGCAUCCGUAGCCGGCUCUGUAAGUUUUCGGUUAAAUCUGUACGCUCAACGUACAGGCUGCCGGGAAUACUGCAGAGCUAGGGAGUGGGGGAGGUAGACGGUACUCGGUAGGAAGGGGUAAAAUCCUUUGAUCUAUUGAUGACCACCUGUGGCGAAGGCGGUCUACCAGAACACGUCCGACGGUGAGGGAUGAAAGCUGGGGGAGCAAACCGGAUUAGAUACCCGGGUAGUCCCAGCUGUAAACUAUGCAAACUCAGUGAUGCAUUGGCUUGUGGCCAAUGCAGUGCUGCAGGGAAGCCGUUAAGUUUGCCGCCUGGGAAGUACGUACGCAAGUAUGAAACUUAAAGGAAUUGGCGGGGGAGCACCACAAGGGGUGAAGCCUGCGGUUCAAUUGG
RNAcentral lists this ribosomal RNA (864 nucleotides) under uncultured archaeon. RNAcentral describes it as "bacterial SSU rRNA". It matches the Rfam family "Archaeal small subunit ribosomal RNA", at positions 39 to 909 of the family's 1478-position model. The record is from RNAcentral.